Molecule: ribosomal RNA, 548 nt
Filed under: Fusarium sp. 7706
Lineage: Eukaryota; Fungi; Ascomycota; Sordariomycetes; Hypocreales; Nectriaceae
Description: eukaryotic LSU rRNA
Rfam family: 5.8S ribosomal RNA (bases 181-334)
Source: RNAcentral
UUCCGUAGGUGAACCUGCGGAGGGAUCAUUACCGAGUUUACAACUCCCAAACCCCUGUGAACAUACCUAUACGUUGCCUCGGCGGAUCAGCCCGCGCCCCGUAAAAAGGGACGGCCCGCCCGAGGACCCCUAAACUCUGUUUUUAGUGGAACUUCUGAGUAAAACAAACAAAUGAAUCAAAACUUUCAACAACGGAUCUCUUGGUUCUGGCAUCGAUGAAGAACGCAGCAAAAUGCGAUAAGUAAUGUGAAUUGCAGAAUUCAGUGAAUCAUCGAAUCUUUGAACGCACAUUGCGCCCGCCAGUAUUCUGGCGGGCAUGCCUGUUCGAGCGUCAUUUCAACCCUCAAGCUCAGCUUGGUGUUGGGACUCGCGGUAACCCGCGUUCCCCAAAUCGAUUGGCGGUCACGUCGAGCUUCCAUAGCGUAGUAAUCAUACACCUCGUUACUGGUAAUCGUCGCGGCCACGCCGUAAAACCCCAACUUCUGAAUGUUGACCUCGGAUCAGGUAGGAAUACCCGCUGAACUUAAGCAUAUCAAUAAGCGGAGGAA